Molecule: long non-coding RNA, 1446 nt
Organism: Vicia villosa (hairy vetch)
Lineage: Eukaryota; Viridiplantae; Streptophyta; Magnoliopsida; Fabales; Fabaceae
Exons: 5
Source: RefSeq, a predicted model, not a curated record
UCUUCAAGGAUUAUACGAUAAACACGAAUAUUUGGGGAAGAGCAAAUAAAUUGAAAUGAAAGUGAAACGCUCGAGGGAAGCUGAAACAUCAUUUUUUUCUUUCAAAACACUUUCACUCCAUCUUCAAUUUCAUCAUGUUCAGAAACAACACAUGCAGCGGCUACGCUCCAUCUUCUCUCCGCCGAGAAAGCAACCACUGUAUCUUUAUGUUGCCGCUGUCGCCAACCUAAAUCUGACGAAACACCAUCCCCACCCCUGAAACUGGUGGCAAUUUCGCCAUCUUUCUUCUCUACUCCGACCACCGCGCAUCACCGUGCACUCAAUCACAACUAUGACGAUUAAAGCAAGCUCGAAUACGAUAUCCACAAAUUUGAUUCCUCUCUGAUUACGAAUAUUCUGAAGAUUACAAGAGAUGAUGGGACAAAGUGGCCUUGGAACUGCUUCAUGAUCUCAUCUUUUUUUAUAACAUUUUGGUUUGAACCAUAUGGGUGUGUUGGGGUGUUUUAUAUCAGUGUCGAUUCAGCUGCAAUUGUCAUUACAUUGUUGAUUUGAUUCAAAGUUGAAUCGUAUUGUUAGAAUCCAGAAUUCUAGCUCUUAAAGAUUUGUAGAUCCCUGAAGCCUACUGGUAUAAUUGGGAAGAAAUUUAAAAUGGGAAUGCUAUACGAGAUGUGGUGGUUCGAGGAGCACCUGCUAUUGCUAUUGCAGCAGCUCUCUCUGGCUGUGGAGGCACAACCUGGCAGACUUCUGUUUACAUAGUUUGGAGGCAAUUAGACAACAAAAGAUUACCGACGCGGUGGAUACCACGCCGUCCAAAUCGGCGACACUCAAAAUUGUUUUUGUUGUAGAUUAUCUUUGUUGAGCAUUUUGUAGCUCAUCUAGAGAUUAAUUGGAUAAGAUGAGGAAUACUCAUCAUUGGCUUUGUUACUGCAUAAUUUUAUAGAUUUAAUUUCGGUGACUUUUAGAUUAAUUAGUCUCAAUUAUUUAGCGAUACUUAUUGCUACACAAUCAAAUCCUUGCAAUUAUGAUACACAUAAAGGGUAAGGGAUCCACGACUGGAUCAAUGAAUUGUUUAGUUUACAUAAGUGUUUAUAUGGUGAGGGAAAGGUGGGUAUUUUUUUUUGGGUAUAAGCUAUUUAAGUUAACGACAAGUUGGAAUCCAGGAGUAAGUUCAUUGGGUCUAAUUUACAAACAAGAUAUCAACAAAUAUUCCUUGAAAAUUUUUGUUUAUGUUUUUGAUUUUGUUGUAAUUUUUUGCAGCUAAUUGGUGAAAUAGUAAGAGAAGUAAAAGCUGUUAUUUUUAUCAUAUUUAGUGGAUUUUUUAAAUAUUUUUAUUAAAAUUCUAUUCUUAAAAAAUGUAAUUUCAAGUCUUGAAACAAAUAAACCUUAUUAUUUUGAAUUUAUAAAAACUUUAAAGUAAUAUAAUAACAAAAAUAUAUAAUAAAUAAU